Molecule: ribosomal RNA, 496 nt
Filed under: uncultured bacterium
Lineage: Bacteria
Description: partial 16S ribosomal RNA
Rfam family: Bacterial small subunit ribosomal RNA
Source: RNAcentral
GAUGAACGCUGGCGGCGUGCCUAAUACAUGCAAGUCGAGCGAACAGACGAGGAGCUUGCUCCUCUGACGUUAGCGGCGGACGGGUGAGUAACACGUGGAUAACCUACCUAUAAGACUGGGAUACUUCGGGAAACCGGAGCUAAUACCGGAUAAUAUAUUGAACCGCAUGGUUCAAUAGUGAAAGACGGUUUUGCUGUCACUUAUAGAUGGAUCCGCGCCGCAUUAGCUAGUUGGUAAGGUAACGGCUUACCAAGGCAACGAUGCGUAGCCGACCUGAGAGGGUGAUCGGCCACACUGGAACUGAGACACGGUCCAGACUCCUACGGGAGGCAGCAGUAGGGAAUCUUCCGCAAUGGGCGAAAGCCUGGCGGAGCAACGCCGCGUGAGUGAUGAAGGUCUUCGGAUCGUAAAACUCUGUUAUUAGGGAAGAACAAAUGUGUAAGUAACUAUGCACGUCUUGACGGUACCUAAUCAGAAAGCCACGGCUAACUACGUG